This 604-nucleotide long non-coding RNA is filed under the name Gossypium barbadense (sea-island cotton). RNAcentral's name for it is "long non-coding RNA (GBAR_LNC000365)". The record is from RNAcentral. Lineage: Eukaryota; Viridiplantae; Streptophyta; Magnoliopsida; Malvales; Malvaceae.
UAAGAUUUUGGUUUCAACUUUCAUUUGUGAUAUUACAACUCUAUUUUGGUUUCCUCUUCUUUGUUGUUCAGCUCACUACUAGAGAUUAGAUUGCUGGAGGCUGGGUAUCAUAAUCUUUGAGCUGUGAGUUGCAGUCUAACUACUGCUUAUGCUAUUUUAUUUGAGCUUUACAUUAUUGAUUUGCUCAAGUAUUUUAAGAUCUAAAAUUUGUUCAUGGUUUCUCUUGGAAUGUUUCAACUCCACCCAAUGAGAUUUCUCCAAGUGUCCCUCAAUUGUCUCUUUAGCCACUAUAUCAACGUUGUUGGUAUAACAUUUAUCCACAUGGAUUCUUUUCUUGUGGACUAAUACACUUUGAGUUGAAGAUCAAGGAAGAAUGUUAGAGGAAUAUUCGAAUCAGCCUAGUUUGGUUAAUUUAUUAACUAUCGGCUAAUCAGUUAGCUAGUAAUUAGUUAUAUUAAACAGACUAUACCCAUUUGUAACAGAUCAUUUAGUUAGGCUCCCUCUAUAAUAUAAAUAUAUGCCUAACGUACCAAGAUAUGUAAGUUUCUAGCAUGCAUCAAUAACAAUAGCUUCAUCUCUCAUUUUCAUACCUUAAUUUUCUUGA